GCAGAUGGGCGGAGCAUAGCCGUCUGGGUAAUUCUAGAUGGAGGAAAGUCCGGACUGCAUUGGGACGGCGUAUGGGCUAACGGCCCAGCGGGGUAACCCGACGAUUAGAGCAACAGUGACGUAAGCGAUUAAAUUCGUAGUGAAACGGGCAAUCUCUACGCGCAGCAACUUCAAAUAGGCCCCCUAUGUAUGUCCCUAACGUUAUGGGGGCGGGUAGAAGGCAUGACAUUUUGUGGCGACACAUUAUGCAGAUUAAUUAUGCUCGCUACCCUUGACUUGUGAAAACUCGUCUUGGGCAUGUACAGAAUCCGGCUUAUAGCUAAAUCUGCAAAA
This 333-nucleotide RNase P RNA is filed under the name Candidatus Enterousia scatequi. Its description in RNAcentral is "RNase P RNA component class A". It matches the Rfam family "Bacterial RNase P class A". Rfam says of the family: Ribonuclease P (RNase P) is a ubiquitous endoribonuclease, found in archaea, bacteria and eukarya as well as chloroplasts and mitochondria. Lineage: Bacteria; Pseudomonadati; Pseudomonadota; Alphaproteobacteria. The record is from RNAcentral.